Molecule: long non-coding RNA, 217 nt
Filed under: Lathyrus oleraceus (garden pea)
Lineage: Eukaryota; Viridiplantae; Streptophyta; Magnoliopsida; Fabales; Fabaceae
Description: Pisum sativum (pea) long non-coding RNA (PSAT_LNC023941)
Source: RNAcentral
UGAAAUCUUAUUGGUCAAAAUAUUCUUCAGUAGAAAUUAUUUAUAAAAAUGACUUAGUCUCACACUCUCGUUUUUAUUGACUCUGACCAUACUCCUAAACCAGAAUGCUUGACUCUCGCGGUCUCAUUUUGAAUUUAAAAGUAAUUUUUGAAUAUAAAUAAAGUCUAAUUAAUCCUAAAGUUCUCUCAUUGUGUUUAGGAUUAAUGCCUAGUUUCAG